This 509-nucleotide ribosomal RNA is filed under the name uncultured bacterium. RNAcentral's name for it is "bacterial SSU rRNA". It matches the Rfam family "Bacterial small subunit ribosomal RNA", at positions 355 to 851 of the family's 1533-position model. The record is from RNAcentral.
UGGGGAAUUUUGGGCAAUGGCCGCAAGGCUGACCCAGCGAACGCCGCGGUGUGGGAUGACGCCUUUCGGGGUGUAAACCACUGUCAGAGGGGAAGGAAUGAGUCAGGUGUAAAUAAUGCCUGGCUGUGACGGUACCCUCAAAGGAAGCACCGGCUAACUCCGUGCCAGCAGCCGCGGUAAUACGGAGGGUGCAAGCGUUGUUCGGAUUUACUGGGCGUAAAGCGCGCGCAGGUGGGUGUACAAGUCGGAAGUGAAAUCUUGAGGCUCAACCUCGAGGCUGCUCCCGAAACUGUACGCCUAGGGACUGGUAGAGGCUGGUAGAAUUCCCGGUGUAGCGGUGGAAUGCGUAGAGAUCGGGAAGAAUACCCGUGGCGAAGGCGGCCAGCUGGGCCAGGUCCGACACUGAGGCGCGAAAGCGUGGGGAGCAAACAGGAUUAGAUACCCUGGUAGUCCACGCCGUAAACGAUGGGCACUAGGCGCUGGUGGGAGCGACCCCUUCAGUGCCGUAG